UCGCGGCUACCAUGCAAGUCGAACGGAAAGGCCCUGCUUUUGUGGGGUGCUCGAGUGGCGAACGGGUGAGUAACACGUGAGUAACCUGCCCUUGACUUUGGGAUAACUUCAGGAAACUGGGGCUAAUACCGGAUAGGAGCUCCUGCUGCAUGGUGGGGGUUGGAAAGUUUCGGCGGUUGGGGAUGGACUCGCGGCUUAUCAGCUUGUUGGUGGGGUAGUGGCUUACCAAGGCUUUGACGGGUAGCCGGCCUGAGAGGGUGACCGGCCACAUUGGGACUGAGAUACGGCCCAGACUCCUACGGGAGGCAGCAGUGGGGAAUAUUGCACAAUGGGCGGAAGCCUGAUGCAGCAACGCCGCGUGCGGGAUGACGGCCUUCGGGUUGUAAACCGCUUUCGCCUGUGACGAAGCGUGAGUGACGGUAAUGGGUAAAGAAGCACCGGCUAACUGCGUGCCAGCAGCCGCGGUGAUACGUAGGGUGCGAGCGUUGUCCGGAUUUAUUGGGCGUAAAGGGCUCGUAGGUGGUUGAUCGCGUCGGAAGUGUAAUCUUGGGGCUUAACCCUGAGCGUGCUUUCGAUACGGGUUGACUUGAGGAAGGUAGGGGAGAAUGGAAUUCCUGGUGGAGCGGUGGAAUGCGCAGAUAUCAGGAGGAACACCAGUGGCGAAGGCGGUUCUCUGGGCCUUUCCUGACGCUGAGGAGCGAAAGCGUGGGGAGCGAACAGGCUUAGAUACCCUGGUAGUCCACGCUGUAAACGGUGGGUACUAGGUGUGGGGUCCAUUCCACGGGUUCCGUGCCGUAGCUAACGCUUUAAGUACCCCGCCUGGGGAGUACGGCCGCAAGGCUAAAACUCAAAGGAAUUGACGGGGCCCC
This 869-nucleotide ribosomal RNA is filed under the name uncultured bacterium. Its description in RNAcentral is "bacterial SSU rRNA". It matches the Rfam family "Bacterial small subunit ribosomal RNA", at positions 42 to 922 of the family's 1533-position model. The record is from RNAcentral.